CGAGGCCAGCAUCAGCAUAUGUCAGGGAAAGCAUUAAGUUAUCAUUUUCAGUCACUGUUCACUCUAAAAGUGAACUAUUGCUUGGACUUAGUGCUCCGUCUAAAGAUGUAGGAAGUAAAACAGAUGACUUGCACCUUUUAGGCAAAAGAAUCAACCACAAAAAGGUGGAUGCUUAAAAGAUCUGCUUUUUGCCGAGGACUUUAAUAAAUGUGUAGACAAAGCAAAAUUAGAAGAGCAUCAGACACUUAUUACAUUACCACUUCUCAGUUCGCAACAUAAAAAAUGAAAAGAAAAGAAAAAGGAAAUCAAGCCUGUGCGUUACCACUUACCAGUGAGUAGUAACGAAAUACAACAGCACAUUAAAAAAAUGCUUCAAUUGCGGAGUGAACCAAAGAUUAUAAUAUAUAUGUAUGGAAUAAGACUGGAAGGCUGUCAUUUAACGAAAUACAACAGCACAUUAAAAAAAUGCUUCAAUUGCGGAACGAAUCAAGAUAAUAAUAUAUAUUACUAUGGAAUAAGACUGAAAGGCUAUCACUUAAUGUUUUCAAUUCUAGACAUAAAAAAGUAAAGAUAAUCGAUCACUGUACCUGGAAAUCAGCUAGUAUUAGAUUUGAACGUGAAAAAGUAAGUGAAAGAGGGAGGGUAUUAAGGAGUUGGGCAGAAGAUCAAUAAGAAAGGGAAGAUGAUGAGACGAAUAAAAUAUACCAACCAGUUCACAGGGAAGUGAUUGUCCGGCAGUGAUGUG
RNAcentral lists this long non-coding RNA (745 nucleotides) under Nicotiana tabacum (common tobacco). Its description in RNAcentral is "long non-coding RNA (NTAB_LNC009882)". The record is from RNAcentral. Lineage: Eukaryota; Viridiplantae; Streptophyta; Magnoliopsida; Solanales; Solanaceae.